GCCGGUGUCACACUGUCCCUCUGCUCCACGAGGCAAACUCCACCUGGCUUCACAGCUCAGUUGGCCCUGGUGGCGGCAGGACAGCCUCCAAGUCCACAACCGGCAAGCUCUCCCGGAAAGGCUCACAAAUUGAAUUAAGAUGACCGAACCACAUGGUUUGUUAACUCCAUGAAGACUCACGCUGGGAGAAUGACGAGGAAACUAGGAGGAUGGGAGAUUUGAAGAAAGUGGAGAACUGGGAAACAGCUUCUCAGGAAAAUUCUGAAGGGAUGCUGAGAGCCUGAGAAACGAUAGCAGCACCAAUCUGUUCUCGUAGAUGACUCUUCUCCAGCUGUGCUCGGCAGCCCCGACAGCAGUGGAGACAAUGGAUAAUUACGUUCAGCAAGGUUUGGGGUUUUUCCAGGCGGGUGCUUCCCCUUUCCUCUCUGCCACAUCAUCUUGUCUUCCAGGUCAGUUCAGUUCAAUAUUAACAAAUGUCCACCAGGGAGGAGGCACUCAUAAGUUCCUGUGAAAAUAGAAGAAUAUUCUUGUGACUUCCAGGUUGGCCCAGAUAAAGCCAGAGGCUCUCCCAGUGGGUCCAUGGCUUCAAGGCAUCAAACCAUCUUCAACUGUGAGACUAUAGAUUGUCAAAAUGAAAAAAACAGUCACAAGAAAAAGAAAGUUCCUGUGGACUCCUUUUGAAUGUCUUUGGGUUAAAAGCAAUGGGAACAUGGUGGUCAGAUGUUCUAGGUUUACUUUCAAAACACAGAUCAGAUGGUGUUGAUAAACGUGUUCAUUUCUUCACUGCAGACUCCAUCCCUGAGUGUCCAUCAUGUGGCGAGUCCACGUGCUGUGAACUGCCAACUUGCUCUCUGGAAGUAGAGUGGAGGAAUCAGACGAAAGCUAAUGUUUACAGCACAAUUCAGAAUUUACACCUGGCAGAGUGAACCGUAAGGGGAGGUGUUGUGUCCUCUUUGGACGAGAGGUGGGACAA
Long non-coding RNA from Diceros bicornis minor, 973 nucleotides. RefSeq lists it as uncharacterized. The transcript has 3 exons. Lineage: Eukaryota; Metazoa; Chordata; Mammalia; Perissodactyla; Rhinocerotidae. The record is from RefSeq and is a predicted model, not a curated record.